Molecule: ribosomal RNA, 397 nt
Filed under: uncultured bacterium
Lineage: Bacteria
Description: bacterial SSU rRNA
Rfam family: Bacterial small subunit ribosomal RNA
Source: RNAcentral
GACGAACGCUGGCGGCGUGCUUAACACAUGCAAGUCGAGCGAGACUUUCUCUUCGGAGGGAUGCUCUAGCGGCGAACGGGUGAGUAACACGUGGGCAACCUGCCCCUAGCUCUGGGAUAAGCCCGAGAAAUCGGGUCUAAUACUGGAUAUUCACGACAUAGGGCAUCUUGUGUUGUGGAAAGGUUUUCUGGCUGGGGAUGGGCCCGCGGCCUAUCAGCUUGUUGGUGGGGNGAUGGCCUACCAAGGCGACGACGGGUAGCCGGCCUGAGAGGGCGACCGGCCACACUGGGACUGAGACACGGCCCAGACUCCUACGGGAGGCAGCAGUGGGGAAUAUUGCACAAUGGGCGGAAGCCUGAUGCAGCGACGCCGCGUGAGGGAUGACGGCCUGGUGUAA